This 1107-nucleotide unclassified non-coding RNA is filed under the name Hevea brasiliensis (rubber tree). The record is from RNAcentral. Lineage: Eukaryota; Viridiplantae; Streptophyta; Magnoliopsida; Malpighiales; Euphorbiaceae.
AAAGAGACAACAUCCCAAAUAUUGACAAUUUUAUGGACAAACAACACUAGCAGAAUACGUGAUAGUUCGAAUGAAAGAGACAAAAUUCCCAAUGUUGACAAUUUUAUGAACAUACAACACUACCAUCAUACCCUAAUGAUGUUGAUAGGAACUAGAAACUGAAAAUGAAAAGAUAACAUGGGAACUUGACAACUUGAUAACAGUUGCGCGGUGAUCUGAAACUUGUUAUCGAACAUUCAGACGUUUUACUGAGGAUUUGGAGGACGACUAUUAGCUGCCGAGACUCUAGAACCCCAUUCAAGCAGUUCUUUGCUGGUGUCAUCCUUGUGAACAAUCACUUCGAUGAAGCACAAACUAUCUUUCUUUGCUUCAGUUGCAGUUCCAAUUGCUUCCACAAGCUCCUCUUCGCAACGAACCUUUGUUGUCCAACAUUUUCCUUGCCCGUUGUGGAUUGCAUCGACUAGUCCAGUGUAAUUCCAGUUCUUGAUCACAUUGUAAGGUCCGUCGUGAAUCUCAACUUCAAUUGUGUAACCGCCAUUGUUUAUCAAGAAGAUGAUAGUCCUCUGACCACAUUGCAGCAUUGUUGAAAUAUCCUGAGCAGUCACCUGAAAACUACCAUCACCAAUGAAAGCAAUCACCCUCUUUUCUUUUGCUGCUUGUGCGUAACCAAGAGUUGCCCCAACAGACCAACCAAUAGAUCCAUACUGCAUUUGGAACUCGUACCCACAUCCCUUGGGCAGUUUAAGUUUCUGGCAAUUGAACCAUGAAUCCCCCGUCUCAGCAAUCACAGCCGUGUCACCAGACAACAUCCUCUGAAUGUGCUCAAAGAGAACAUUAACCCUCAAUGCCUCUUUAGACUCACACAUGAGAGGAUGUCCCUCUGGAACAUAAAUCCUUCGAUAGUUCUCGUAAGCAGUCGGGUUGUGCUUUAGCCUCUUGCCCAAUGCAGCAAGGAAAUCCUUCAUUAAAAUACAACCAAAUGUAGGUCCAUUACCAACAGUCACACGAUCCGGCUGUACAAUGAUAGCUUUCUCUCUUUUGAGAAGCAGAGAAUACCCAACAGAGCUAUAGUCAUUAAAAAUAGGUCCAGCAAACAAGUAAGCAUCA